UCUCCGUUGGUGAACCAGCGGAGGGAUCAUUACCGAAGUUACUCUUCACAACCCUUCUGUGAACCCUACCGACCUUUGCCGCGCGUUGCCUCGGCGGGGAGGUCCGGGGUCGGGGGGUGGCUCCCCGCGGGCCCCCCCCUAACUCGGGCCCCCGCCGGCCGUGCCGAACUCUUCUAUUUGCGAAAGCGAACUGCAUGUCUGAUUGCGUCUUGAAAACAAGUCAAAACUUUCAACAACGGAUCUCUUGGUUCUG
Molecule: unclassified non-coding RNA, 253 nt
Filed under: Microascus stellatus
Lineage: Eukaryota; Fungi; Ascomycota; Sordariomycetes; Microascales; Microascaceae
Also listed under: 1 other name
Description: Thermomyces stellatus partial contains small subunit ribosomal RNA, internal transcribed spacer 1, and 5.8S ribosomal RNA
Source: RNAcentral